Long non-coding RNA from Fundulus heteroclitus (mummichog), 512 nucleotides. RefSeq lists it as uncharacterized. Lineage: Eukaryota; Metazoa; Chordata; Actinopteri; Cyprinodontiformes; Fundulidae. The record is from RefSeq and is a predicted model, not a curated record. The transcript has 3 exons.
UCCGUGUUUGCUAAAACUGAAUGCUGUGGUGAUGGUCGUAACAUCCUAGAUAUCAAAGUAGGAAUAUUCUUCUCCCACCUGCUAACCUUGCCUGUAUUUAACACCAUACUGGGUGUGGGAGGUGUCCCGGCAUUAGUGAGUCAGCCAGCUGUGACAGUCACUAAAAGUUGGGGACGGAAGACCAGGAUCUCCCGGACUCCUGCUACCCAGCAAGCCAUGCUCCCCUUCCCACAUAUCAGGUCUCAGAAGAUGGCUCUGAAGAACCAGCAGCAGGAUUAUUGUUUUAAAGAACAACCCAAGUUGUGGAGGGCUGCUCAAUGUAGCCCAAACCUAACCCAGUGUAACCCUGUGGAGGAUACUGGGAAGGACAAAGAAGACUGGAUCACUUUGGAUAUUUAAACCAAGUUUAAAUAUUUGCAUGUUGGUAAAGAUGUGAUAAAACUGACUGUAUAAUAAUCUAAUAUCAAACUCCUUGCAAUUUAGCAUUUCUAUAUGUAAAAUAAAAGGCAAAU